UAUAAGAUUUGUUCAGCCGAUUGUGC
This 26-nucleotide non-coding RNA is filed under the name Homo sapiens (human). The record is from RNAcentral. Lineage: Eukaryota; Metazoa; Chordata; Mammalia; Primates; Hominidae.